UGCGUAGGUGGUUUGAUAAGUCAGAGGUGAAAGCCCACCGCUUAACGGUGGAAUUGCCUUUGAUACUGUCAGACUUGAAUAAGGUUGAGGUCGGCGGAAUGUGUCAUGUAGCGGUGAAAUGCAUAGAUAUGAUAUAGAACACCAAUUGCGAAGGCAGCUGGCUAGACCUUUAUUGACACUGAGGCACGAAAGCGUGGGGAGCGAACAGGAUUAGAUACCCUGGUAGUCC
Molecule: ribosomal RNA, 229 nt
Filed under: uncultured bacterium
Lineage: Bacteria
Description: partial 16S ribosomal RNA
Rfam family: Bacterial small subunit ribosomal RNA
Source: RNAcentral